Oncorhynchus tshawytscha (Chinook salmon) is the source of this 824-nucleotide long non-coding RNA. NCBI's taxonomy places the organism in Eukaryota, Metazoa, Chordata, Actinopteri, Salmoniformes, Salmonidae. The record is from Ensembl.
CAACCACAGAGGAACCAAUAACCUCCCCUCCUCUGACAACAAACCUCACAACCACAGAGGAACCAAUAACCUCCCCUCCUCUGACAACAAACCUCACAACCACAGAGGAACCAACAAACUCUCCUCCUCUAACAACAAACCUCACAACCACAGGGGAACCAACCUCUCCUCCUUUGACAAUACAACUCACGACCACACAGAUUUCACCUGCACUUCCAAAUACCACCCAAACAACUACUGAACUCACAACCACACCCACAAAUGUCAGUACGUACGCUCCCACAACUACCACAACUACCACAACCACCACAGCAUCCACAACUUUAAGUACACACCCAACCACCAAUCUCACAACCCAUAUUGGUGACGGUACAACAACGAGCAGUGGGUCUACCAUCAGAACCACAGAGGAACCAACAACCUCCCCUCCUCCGGCAAUAAACCUCACAACAACAGAGGAACAAACAACCUCCCCUCCUCUGACAAUAAACCUCACAACCACAGAGGAACCAACAACCUCCCCUCCUCUGACAACAAACCUCACGACCACAGAGGAACCAACACCCUCCCCUCCUCUGACAACAAACCUCACGACCACAGAGGAACCAACAACCUCCCCUCCUCUGACAAUAAACCUCACAACCACAGCGGAACCAACAACCUCCCCUCCUCUGACAAUAAACAUCACAACAACAGAGGAACCAACAACCUCCCCUCCUCUGACAAUAAACCUCACAACCACAGAGGAACCAACAACCUCCCCUCCUCUGACAAUAAACCUCACAACCACAGAGGAACCAAUAACCUCCCCUCCUCUGACAACA